GACGAACGCUGGCGGCGCGCCUAACACAUGCAAGUCGAACGAGCGAGAGAGAGCUUGCUUUCAUGAGCGAGUGGCGAACGGGUGAGUAACGCGUGAGGAACCUGCCUCAAAGAGGGGGACACAAGUUGGAAAAGACUGCUAAUACCGCAUAAGCCCACGACCCGGCCUCGGGUUGAGGGAAAAGGAGCCAUCCGCUUUGAGAGGGCCUCGCGUCCGAUUAGCUUGGUGGUUAGGUAACGGCCCACCAAGGCGACGAGCGGUAGCCGGACUGAGAGGUUGAACGGCCACAUUGGGACUGGGACACGGCCCAGACUCCUACGGGUGGCAGCAGUUGGGAACAUUGCACAAUGGGUGAAACCCGGAUGUAGCGGCGCCGCGUGGAGGAAGAAGGUCUUAGGAUUGUAAAUUCCUGUGGUAGAGGAAUAUAGUGACGGUACUCAACCAGGAAGUGACGGCUAACUACGUG
This 466-nucleotide ribosomal RNA is filed under the name uncultured bacterium. Its description in RNAcentral is "partial 16S ribosomal RNA". It matches the Rfam family "Bacterial small subunit ribosomal RNA", at positions 28 to 507 of the family's 1533-position model. The record is from RNAcentral.